This 117-nucleotide ribosomal RNA is filed under the name Candidatus Daviesbacteria bacterium RIFCSPHIGHO2_02_FULL_37_9. RNAcentral also lists the same sequence under 1 other name. The record is from RNAcentral. Lineage: Bacteria; Candidatus Daviesiibacteriota.
CCUGGUGGUUUGUGCGAUACGGCCCGACCUGAUCCCAUCCCGAACUCAGUCGUCAAACGUAUCAGCGGGGACGAUAAUGCUACUGCGAGGUUGUGUGAAAAUACCUCACUGCCAGAU